Long non-coding RNA from Apis florea (little honeybee), 865 nucleotides. Lineage: Eukaryota; Metazoa; Arthropoda; Insecta; Hymenoptera; Apidae. The record is from RefSeq and is a predicted model, not a curated record.
AAUUUCUCGAUAAGCGCAAUAAUUAAUCAAUCUUUUUAGCUAAGCACGUGUGACUGAAAUGUGAAAAAGUUUCUAAAUAUGAAAAAUAUUUUUAUCUACUUGACAACUUUUACAAGUAAAGAUUUGGUAGCAUUUCAAUUAUCAAAGAUGGUUAAUAUCUGGCAUUAGGUGCCUAUCCAACAUGUCGCUUAGCAUUAGUGGAACUUCUGCACCGUUACAUUCUAACACUAUCAUCUGACAAAAAUAAAAUUUUAUAGAAAGAAUCAAGGUAUCAACAUUAUAAAAUGAACUGAAAAAAAUUAUAGGAAAGAAAUCUGAUAGAAUAAAAAGAAAUAAGAAAAGGAAAACAAAUAGAUAUUUAUAGAAAAAGUGAAAAAAGAAAAAUAGAAGAAAAAAAAUGAGAAGAUCAGAGGAGAGGAAACUAUGUAGAGAGAACUUGGUUGCGUGUAAACAGCGGAAGUUACUUUCAGGGGAUAAAGAGAGACUGGGGUCGGACAUCGAUCUGGUAGUUAAGUUCAGGGCUCUCAAGGGACUCGUUGCUACCUUCGCAGCUUCGUCUCCUCCUCUUGCUUUAUUUGCACCACUCUUUGUGUGUAUUCUGCAGAUACAUGUUGGCAUCGGUAUCGUUUCCUUGCCAUUCGCAUAAACCGCAUUACACGUUUUUACAUUCGUAUUUAUGUACAAUUUAACGAGAGCCAUUCGAGCGACCGUCGCGUUGCUCGAGAUGAAACGAAAAAUUUUUCUAUCUCGAAGAAAUCGCAAACAAAUCGAAAGAUCGUAAAUGUUAUUACUAUUCUGCGUUACUAUUCUAUAGAUUUAAUCGUAUUUCAUGAUAGUAUCUCGAUAAAUUUUAAUAGAAUUUUAA